GCAGCUGCCGGACACCAGGAGACGAUGGAAGGUCUAUAGUGUUACAGCUCUGACCCAGGAAGUCCCAGGGUCUUGCCUUCCAGAAGGGUCGCGGCUCUUCCCUCCCUCAGUCCAACGAACAGGAGCACGUCACCUCCCGCAGCUCGGGGAGCUGGCCAGGAACGUGUUACAGCCCGUUUCGCUCCUGUCCGCAGCUGGGUGAGGCAGCCAGGAAAAUAUUACAGCUCUUCUCACGCCCGCCAUUCAGCAGGUCCUGACUUCUUGUGUGACAUCCAGAAGAAAGGGGUUACACAGACAGCUGGAGGGUGAGCAAAGUGGAGAAGUUCUCAGCAGAGAGGAGACUGGAGUGAGUUGCCCCUACCCGCAGGUGCCAACUGUAAUACAUCAGUAGCUGAACAGCUCAUUGCCCUCAAGUGUUCUUGCUCAUGCCUGGCUGAGUUAUUGAAGAAAUUGCUCAGAUCUCAAGCCCUUGUAGAUCACUGGUCCUGGCAGAUGUUAUGGGGAACUCGCUAUGUUGCCCAGGCUGGUCUUGAACUCAUGGUCUCAGGCAGUCCUCCUGCCUCAGCUUCCCAAAGUGCUGGAAUUACAGAUACGUGAACAGAAAAGCCUGAACUAGGGAACUGACCAUGAAACUAAAAAGGAGAAAGCAUAUGCAAGUGGACACAAUAUGAGAAAUAAAGAAAACAAGAAAAGCAAGGGAAAGGAGAGAAAAAAGGAGGGAUACAGCAAGAGGGAGAAAGAAAAGGACGAGAAAAUAAAUUACUAAAGGGAGAAAAGAAAAAGAAAAAAGAAAAAGCAGAGAAGAAGUUAAUCCCCUGGUGAAUUUUUCACAGGCUAUCUGGAACUCAAAAGUUCAAUCUUUAUCCAUCUAUCACUAAGUCAACUUCUGGAACCUCUUCUUCUAGAACCAGUUAGGGAAGCCACUGAAGGAGGGUUAUAGGACAAAAUAUAUGUUGGUGUGAACUUUAAAAAAAGAAUUUGUGUUUAAGGAUGAAACUGUAAUGGUUUUGAAAUUGCACUAACCACAUUUGAUUUGAGCUGAAUCAAAAGUAGAAAAAUCAGCAAAUUCUACAUAAAAAACUAAGGAAGAGGAAGAAGAUCCAACUUAGAAAAUCCAGUGGAAUAAUAAUUCCAUUAGUAAGAUAACGAUACAGAGAGAUGAUGACACUGGAGUUUUCAGAGAGCAUUGAGGCAAUAUGUAGCUAUGGAAUUUGAAAAAAAAAAUGGUUCAUUUUUGGAAGAUUACUACAACAGUCAUGUUAGAUUAAUUGAAAUGAAGGUUGGUGUUAUAAGGCUUUAAAAAUAGUCCAACUGGAAAUACGAAAGCUUGAAAAGCAGCUUUGAAAAACAAAGACAGAGGGGAAAGGGAUGAAGAGAAAUACAACUGAGAUUUAAGAUAUAAAAUAACUGAAAUCUGGAACUAAUCAACUGUGAAAAUCAAGCAACGAGAAAGAGUUGUAAAUUAUUUUAAAAUAUCUGGCUCGAUCAACUUUGCCAGUUUUAGAGCCAGUCUUUGCAAAAAGGGAGAAACAAAACAGAUGAGACAAGAAAGGAACAUCCAGCAUGCUGUGAACCCCCUGAGACUGGCCAUGAUCUGAAAGAGUAAAGCUCUAUCCAGGGAACCUUUUCUGAAUCAUAGUGUCAGACUUCCUGCUCUUUUCAACUCCCCUGGUUUUAUCAUCUCUACUCUGUUUCAGCAAUCUACUGCCAUGGCCACAUCCUGAAUGUUGACAAUACCCUAAACUGUGCCAUUUAUAAGAUCUCUGACACACCAACCUCUCUCCUCUUACAGCUCUCAAUGAUGUAUAUGACCUCAGCUUAUUCUAAUAUGCUUACAGAUUAUACACCCGUGAUAUUGAUGGCAGUGGCUGCUGCUGUCGUGGCUGCUGCUAUCACGCCUGCUGCAACACAGAGGUGCGACUGGGGCUGCACAUUUCACGGAGGUGUUGGGAGUUCCGCCCCUUCUGAUGUGGGGAAAGAGAUCCCCAGGUGCCCCUGCAUCUGCCCAAACUGUGGCUGUGGAUCGGAGGCUCCAGGUUGGCAGGUUGGGAGCUUCCGGGUGCAGCUGCGACCGCCCUCCCAGGUGCAGGACCCUGGUGUUUCUGCAGCCUGCACCCUUGGGGGCCCCAGGAAAGACCCAUAUCCUUGCAGGCUUGGAGGUGUUUGCUUCUUCUGCCUGGCCUCUCUCGGCUCCCGGUGCAUGCUCUCAUAUCUGAGUGGGGGUUGGUGCUGAGCCCCGGGGCCGUGAAUUGCAGCAGGAGGCAGAUUUAUUCCUGGGCAGAAGGUGGCAGAUCCCAAGUAAGGGGACCUUCAAGCCAGGGAGGGCCUGAAGGCUGGUGGCUGGGCUACCAGUCCCACCGACCAGAGUGGGGAUUCGUGGGCCUCUUCUGGGCCACCCAUAGCCACCCAUGGACCAAUCAGCAAGCACAUCCUCCCCUCUGAGGUCCGUAAAAGCCCUGGGCGCAGCCUGAGCAGGGCAGAGGAAGGCCAGAGGUGAAGGAGUCAGAGAGGCGACAGGAUAGGCAGCUGCCGAGAGAAGUACGCCUCUCUGCUGAGACCUGGAGAUGACGGGAAGGCCAGAUGCAGAGAGGAGCUACCCUCUCUGCUUAGAGCUGCCAGGAGGAGCUACCAACCUUCUCUGCUGAGAGCUGCAGAGAUGACCUGCUGGCAGAGAGGAGCUACCCACUGCGGGUCUCCUCUGAUCUGUUGUAAUGCUGAAUAAAGCUUCUUUUCAUCUUGUUCACCUUCCACUUGUCUGCAUACCUCAUUCUACCCGGACGCAAGCAAGAACUCGAGCAAAGGCACAACCAGCCACAGAGGUUUCUGGCCAGAAAAUCGACACCCCAAAAGUCCUAUAACAAUCUGAUUCUAAAAGCAACAUCAUCUUUUCAAUGUAAUUCUAAAAGAAUUUGGGAUUAUUUUAUUUAAUUUCAGGAUCCCCUCUGAAGAAAAUCAACUUACAAAGGAUGGCAGGUCUUAAGAAAGGUACUUAGCAAGUGCUGGUACAUUCUAAGCAAUCAAUAUUUGUCAAUGUUCAGUAAUUGUACAAUUGUACUAGAGAAAACAAUUCCAGGGGCUUAAAAUUAUCUUAUACAAGGAUCCACUUUAUUAUUAUUUUUUCUGUUUGUUUUGGAUAAAUUACUGACUCCUUAUCUCAGUUAUGUUAUGUGUUAAAUGUUUACAGUGUUAUUUUGUAUCUCUCAAGGGCUUUUGUUAGAAUUUUCAAUGAGAUACCUUAAAACCUCUAAAAAGAAAAUGGAUGUUAUAAGUAAAUAAAAAUAAGUCUGAAUGGC
RNAcentral lists this long non-coding RNA (3293 nucleotides) under Homo sapiens (human). Its description in RNAcentral is "uncharacterized LOC102724542, transcript variant 23 (LOC102724542)". The record is from RNAcentral. Lineage: Eukaryota; Metazoa; Chordata; Mammalia; Primates; Hominidae.